This 287-nucleotide ribosomal RNA is filed under the name Aeromonas sobria. RNAcentral describes it as "partial 16S ribosomal RNA". It matches the Rfam family "Bacterial small subunit ribosomal RNA", at positions 1 to 283 of the family's 1533-position model. Lineage: Bacteria; Pseudomonadati; Pseudomonadota; Gammaproteobacteria; Aeromonadales; Aeromonadaceae. The record is from RNAcentral.
AAUUGAAGAGUUUGAUCAUGGCUCAGAUUGAACGCUGGCGGCAGGCCUAACACAUGCAAGUCGAGCGGCAGCGGGAAAGUAGCUUGCUACUUUUGCCGGCGAGCGGCGGACGGGUGAGUAAUGCCUGGGGAUCUGCCCAGUCGAGGGGGAUAACAGUUGGAAACGACUGCUAAUACCGCAUACGCCCUACGGGGGAAAGGAGGGGACCUUCGGGCCUUUCGCGAUUGGAUGAACCCAGGUGGGAUUAGCUAGUUGGUGGGGUAAUGGCUCACCAAGGCGACGAUCCC